GUGAGGAAUAUUGGUCAAUGGGCGAGAGCCUGAACCAGCCAAGUCGCGUGAAGGAAGAAGGAUCUAUGGUUCGUAAACUUCUUUUGCAGGGGAAUAAAGUGCGGGACGUGUCCUGUUUUGUAUGUACCCUGAGAAUAAGGAUCGGCUAACUCCGUGCCAGCAGCCGCGGUAAUACGGAGGAUCCGAGCGUUAUCCGGAUUUAUUGGGUUUAAAGGGUGCGUAGGUGGUUUGAUAAGUCAGCGGUGAAAGUUUGCAGCUUAACUGUAAAAAUGCCAUUGAAACUGUAGGACUUGAGUGUAAAUGAGGUAGGCGGAAUGCGUGGUGUAGCGGUGAAAUGCAUAGAUAUCACGCAGAACUCCGAUUGCGAAGGCAGCUUACUAAGCUACAACUGACACUGAAGCACGAAAGCGUGGGGAUCAAACAGGAUUAGAAACCCCUGUAGUCC
This 445-nucleotide ribosomal RNA is filed under the name uncultured bacterium. RNAcentral's name for it is "partial 16S ribosomal RNA". It matches the Rfam family "Bacterial small subunit ribosomal RNA", at positions 354 to 796 of the family's 1533-position model. The record is from RNAcentral.